RNAcentral lists this ribosomal RNA (439 nucleotides) under uncultured bacterium. Its description in RNAcentral is "bacterial SSU rRNA". It matches the Rfam family "Bacterial small subunit ribosomal RNA", at positions 351 to 782 of the family's 1533-position model. The record is from RNAcentral.
GCAGUGGGGAAUUUUGGACAAUGGGCGCAAGCCUGAUCCAGCAAUGCCGCGUGAGUGAAGAAGGCCUUCGGGUUGUAAAGCUCUUUUGUCAGGGAAGAAACGGUGAGGGCUAAUAUCCCUUGCUAAUGACGGUACCUGAAGAAUAAGCACCGGCUAACUACGUGCCAGCAGCCGCGGUAAUACGUAGGGUGCAAGCGUUAAUCGGAAUUACUGGGCGUAAAGCGUGCGCAGGCGGUUUUGUAAGUUUGUCGUGAAAGCCCCGGGCUCAACCUGGGAAUUGCGAUGAAGACUGCAAGGCUUGAAUCUGGCAGAGGGGGGUAGAAUUCCACGUGUAGCAGUGAAAUGCGUAGAGAUGUGGAGGAACACCGAUGGCGAAGGCAGCCCCCUGGGUCAAGAUUGACGCUCAUGCACGAAAGCGUGGGGAGCAAACAGGAUUAGA